RNAcentral lists this ribosomal RNA (991 nucleotides) under Salmonella enterica. Its description in RNAcentral is "partial 23S ribosomal RNA". It matches the Rfam family "Bacterial large subunit ribosomal RNA", at positions 711 to 1616 of the family's 2925-position model. RNAcentral also lists the same sequence under 1 other name. The record is from RNAcentral. Lineage: Bacteria; Pseudomonadati; Pseudomonadota; Gammaproteobacteria; Enterobacterales; Enterobacteriaceae.
AGACCCGAAACCCGGUGAUCUAGCCAUGGGCAGGUUGAAGGUUGGGUAACACUAACUGGAGGACCGAACCGACUAAUGUUGAAAAAUUAGCGGAUGACCUGUGGCUGGGGGUGAAAGGCCAAUCAAACCGGGAGAUAGCUGGUUCUCCCCGAAAGCUAUUUAGGUAGCGCCUCGUGAAUUCAUCUCCGGGGGUAGAGCACUGUUUCGGCUAGGGGGCCAUCCCGGCUUACCAACCCGAUGCAAACUGCGAAUACCGGAGAAUGUUAUCACGGGAGACACACGGCGGGUGCUAACGUCCGUCGUGAAGAGGGAAACAACCCAGACCGCCAGCUAAGGUCCCAAAGUCAUGGUUAAGUGGGAAACGAUGUGGGAAGGCCCAGACAGCCAGGAUGUUGGCUUAGAAGCAGCCAUCAUUUAAAGAAAGCGUAAUAGCUCACUGGUCGAGUCGGCCUGCGCGGAAGAUGUAACGGGGCUAAACCAUGCACCGAAGCUGCGGCAGCGAACGUAUCACCCAAGACAACUUUGCGGAGUUGACGAUUGACGGAGCGAAGCGACGUCAAAGCGUUCAUUAAAGUCGAGUUGGCUUAGGGAUACGUUCGUUGGGUAGGGGAGCGUUCUGUAAGCCUGUGAAGGUGGCCUGUGAGGGUUGCUGGAGGUAUCAGAAGUGCGAAUGCUGACAUAAGUAACGAUAAAGCGGGUGAAAAGCCCGCUCGCCGGAAGACCAAGGGUUCCUGUCCAACGUUAAUCGGGGCAGGGUGAGUCGACCCCUAAGGCGAGGCCGAAAGGCGUAGUCGAUGGGAAACGGGUUAAUAUUCCCGUACUUGGUGUUACUGCGAAGGGGGGACGGAGAAGGCUAUGUUGGCCGGGCGACGGUUGUCCCGGUUUAAGCGUGUAGGUGUGUGUUCCAGGUAAAUCCGGUUCACUUUAACACUGAGGCGUGAUGACGAGGCACUACGGUGCUGAAGCAACAAAUGCCCUGCUUCCAGGAAAA